This 253-nucleotide ribosomal RNA is filed under the name uncultured bacterium. RNAcentral's name for it is "partial 16S ribosomal RNA". It matches the Rfam family "Bacterial small subunit ribosomal RNA", at positions 524 to 776 of the family's 1533-position model. The record is from RNAcentral.
UACGUAGGGGGCAAGCGUUGUCCGGAAUCAUUGGGCGUAAAGGGCGCGUAGGCGGCAAUUCAAGUCAGCUGUGAAAUCUCCGGGCUUAACUCGGAACGGUCAGCUGAUACUGCUUUGCUAGAGUGCAGAAGGGGCAAUCGGAAUUCUUGGUGUAGCGGUGAAAUGCGUAGAUAUCAAGAGGAACACCUGAGGUGAAGGCGGGUUGCUGGGCUGACACUGACGCUGAGGCGCGAAAGCUAGGGUAGCAAACAGG